Molecule: ribosomal RNA, 468 nt
Filed under: uncultured bacterium
Lineage: Bacteria
Description: partial 16S ribosomal RNA
Rfam family: Bacterial small subunit ribosomal RNA
Source: RNAcentral
GACGAACGCUGGCGGCGUGCUUAACACAUGCAAGUCGAACGGAAAGGCCCUGCUUUUGUGGGGUGCUCGAGUGGCGAACGGGUGAGUAAAACGUGAGUAAACUGCCCUUGACUGUGGGAUAACUUCAGGAAACUGGGGCUAAUACCGGAUAGGAGCUCCUGCUGCAUGGUGGGGGUUGGAAAGUUUCGGCGGUGGGGGAUGGACUCGCGGCUUAUCAGCUUGAUGGUGGGGUAGUGGCGUACAACGGCUUUGACGGGUAGCCGGCCUGAGAGGGUGACCGGCCUCAUUGGGACUGAGAUACGGCCCAGACUCCUACGGGAGGCAGCAGUGGGGAAUAUUGCACAAUGGGCGGAAGCCUGAUGCAGCAACGCCGGGUGCGGGAUGACGGCCUUCGGGUUGUAAACCGAUUUCGCCUGUGACGAAGCGUGAGUGACGGUAAUGGGUAAAGAAGCACCGGCUAACUACGUG